This 2806-nucleotide ribosomal RNA is filed under the name Salmonella enterica subsp. enterica serovar Bareilly str. CFSAN000204. Its description in RNAcentral is "bacterial LSU rRNA". It matches the Rfam family "Bacterial large subunit ribosomal RNA". Lineage: Bacteria; Pseudomonadati; Pseudomonadota; Gammaproteobacteria; Enterobacterales; Enterobacteriaceae. The record is from RNAcentral.
GGGUUGUGAGGUUAAGCGACUAAGCGUACACGGUGGAUGCCCUGGCAGUCAGAGGCGAUGAAGGGCGUGCUAAUCUGCGAUAAGCGCCGGUAAGGUGAUAUGAACCGUUAUAACCGGCGAUACCCGAAUGGGGAAACCCAGUGUGAUUCGUCACACUAUCAUUAACUGAAUCCAUAGGUUAAUGAGGCGAACCGGGGGAACUGAAACAUCUAAGUACCCCGAGGAAAAGAAAUCAACCGAGAUUCCCCCAGUAGCGGCGAGCGAACGGGGAGGAGCCCAGAGCCUGAAUCAGCAUGUGUGUUAGUGGAAGCGUCUGGAAAGGCGCGCGAUACAGGGUGACAGCCCCGUACACAAAAGCGCAUGUGCUGUGAGCUCGAUGAGUAGGGCGGGACACGUGGUAUCCUGUCUGAAUAUGGGGGGACCAUCCUCCAAGGCUAAAUACUCCUGACUGACCGAUAGUGAACCAGUACCGUGAGGGAAAGGCGAAAAGAACCCCGGCGAGGGGAGUGAAAAAGAACCUGAAACCGUGUACGUACAAGCAGUGGGAGCACCCUUUUGGGUGUGACUGCGUACCUUUUGUAUAAUGGGUCAGCGACUUAUAUUCUGUAGCAAGGUUAACCGUAUAGGGGAGCCGUAGGGAAACCGAGUCUUAACCGGGCGUUAAGUUGCAGGGUAUAGACCCGAAACCCGGUGAUCUAGCCAUGGGCAGGUUGAAGGUUGGGUAACACUAACUGGAGGACCGAACCGACUAAUGUUGAAAAAUUAGCGGAUGACCUGUGGCUGGGGGUGAAAGGCCAAUCAAACCGGGAGAUAGCUGGUUCUCCCCGAAAGCUAUUUAGGUAGCGCCUCGUGAAUUCAUCUCCGGGGGUAGAGCACUGUUUCGGCUAGGGGGCCAUCCCGGCUUACCAACCCGAUGCAAACUGCGAAUACCGGAGAAUGUUAUCACGGGAGACACACGGCGGGUGCUAACGUCCGUCGUGAAGAGGGAAACAACCCAGACCGCCAGCUAAGGUCCCAAAGUCAUGGUUAAGUGGGAAACGAUGUGGGAAGGCCCAGACAGCCAGGAUGUUGGCUUAGAAGCAGCCAUCAUUUAAAGAAAGCGUAAUAGCUCACUGGUCGAGUCGGCCUGCGCGGAAGAUGUAACGGGGCUAAACCAUGCACCGAAGCUGCGGCAGCGACGUUUAUGUGUUGUUGGGUAGGGGAGCGUUCUGUAAGCCUGCGAAGGUGGCCUGUGAGGGUUGCUGGAGGUAUCAGAAGUGCGAAUGCUGACAUAAGUAACGAUAAAGCGGGUGAAAAGCCCGCUCGCCGGAAGACCAAGGGUUCCUGUCCAACGUUAAUCGGGGCAGGGUGAGUCGACCCCUAAGGCGAGGCCGAAAGGCGUAGUCGAUGGGAAACGGGUUAAUAUUCCCGUACUUGGUGUUACUGCGAAGGGGGGACGGAGAAGGCUAUGUUGGCCGGGCGACGGUUGUCCCGGUUUAAGCGUGUAGGCUGGUUUUCCAGGCAAAUCCGGAAAAUCAAGGCUGAGGCGUGACGACGAGGCACUACGGUGCUGAAGCAACAAAUGCCCUGCUUCCAGGAAAAGCCUCUAAGCAUCAGGUAACAUCAAAUCGUACCCCAAACCGACACAGGUGGUCAGGUAGAGAAUACCAAGGCGCUUGAGAGAACUCGGGUGAAGGAACUAGGCAAAAUGGUGCCGUAACUUCGGGAGAAGGCACGCUGACACGUAGGUGAAGUGAUUUACUCAUGGAGCUGAAGUCAGUCGAAGAUACCAGCUGGCUGCAACUGUUUAUUAAAAACACAGCACUGUGCAAACACGAAAGUGGACGUAUACGGUGUGACGCCUGCCCGGUGCCGGAAGGUUAAUUGAUGGGGUCAGCGCAAGCGAAGCUCCUGAUCGAAGCCCCGGUAAACGGCGGCCGUAACUAUAACGGUCCUAAGGUAGCGAAAUUCCUUGUCGGGUAAGUUCCGACCUGCACGAAUGGCGUAAUGAUGGCCAGGCUGUCUCCACCCGAGACUCAGUGAAAUUGAACUCGCUGUGAAGAUGCAGUGUACCCGCGGCAAGACGGAAAGACCCCGUGAACCUUUACUAUAGCUUGACACUGAACAUUGAGCCUUGAUGUGUAGGAUAGGUGGGAGGCUUUGAAGUGUGGACGCCAGUCUGCAUGGAGCCGACCUUGAAAUACCACCCUUUAAUGUUUGAUGUUCUAACGUGGACCCGUAAUCCGGGUUGCGGACAGUGUCUGGUGGGUAGUUUGACUGGGGCGGUCUCCUCCUAAAGAGUAACGGAGGAGCACGAAGGUUGGCUAAUCCUGGUCGGACAUCAGGAGGUUAGUGCAAUGGCAUAAGCCAGCUUGACUGCGAGCGUGACGGCGCGAGCAGGUGCGAAAGCAGGUCAUAGUGAUCCGGUGGUUCUGAAUGGAAGGGCCAUCGCUCAACGGAUAAAAGGUACUCCGGGGAUAACAGGCUGAUACCGCCCAAGAGUUCAUAUCGACGGCGGUGUUUGGCACCUCGAUGUCGGCUCAUCACAUCCUGGGGCUGAAGUAGGUCCCAAGGGUAUGGCUGUUCGCCAUUUAAAGUGGUACGCGAGCUGGGUUUAGAACGUCGUGAGACAGUUCGGUCCCUAUCUGCCGUGGGCGCUGGAGAACUGAGGGGGGCUGCUCCUAGUACGAGAGGACCGGAGUGGACGCAUCACUGGUGUUCGGGUUGUCAUGCCAAUGGCACUGCCCGGUAGCUAAAUGCGGAAGAGAUAAGUGCUGAAAGCAUCUAAGCACGAAACUUGCCCCGAGAUGAGUUCUCCCUGAGACUU